RNAcentral lists this ribosomal RNA (491 nucleotides) under uncultured bacterium. RNAcentral describes it as "partial 16S ribosomal RNA". It matches the Rfam family "Bacterial small subunit ribosomal RNA", at positions 28 to 507 of the family's 1533-position model. The record is from RNAcentral.
GAUGAACGCUAGCGAUAGGCUUAACACAUGCAAGUCGAGGGGUAACGUGUUGGAAGCUUGCUUCCGAUGACGACGACCGGCGGAUGGGUGCGUAACGCGUAUGCAACUUGCCUCACAGUGGAGAAUAACCCGGAGAAAUCCUGACUAAUACUCCAUACACUCUUAAGUACGCCUGUACAUGAGAGGAAAGAUUUAUCGCUGUGAGAUAGGCAUGCGUCCUAUUAGGUAGUUGGUGAGGUAACGGCUCACCAAGCCGACGAUAGGUAGGGGUGCUGAGAGGCAGAUCCCCCACAUUGGGACUGAGACACGGCCCAAACUCCUACGGGAGGCAGCAGUGAGGAAUAUUGGUCAAUGGAGGAAACUCUGAACCAGCCAAGUCGCGUGAAGGAAGAAUGUCCUAAGGAUUGUAAACUUCUUUAGCGAGCGAGUAAGGACUUCCACGUGAUGGGAGUUUGAAAGUAGCUCGAGAAUAAGUAUCGGCUAACUCCGUG